GGUUAAGCGACUAAGCGUACACGGUGGAUGCCCUGGCAGUCAGAGGCGAUGAAGGACGUGCUAAUCUGCGAAAAGCGUCGGUAAGGUGAUAUGAACCGUUACAGCCGGCGAUGUCCGAAUGGGGAAACCCAGUGCAAUUCGUUGCACUAUCGUUUGAUGAAUACAUAGUCAAACGAGGCGAACCGGGGGAACUGAAACAUCUAAGUACCCCGAGGAAAAGAAAUCAACCGAGAUUCCCCCAGUAGCGGCGAGCGAACGGGGAGCAGCCCGGAGUCUGAAUCAGCUUGUGUGUUAGUGGAAGCGUCUGGAAAGUCGCAGGGUACAGGGUGAUACUCCCGUACACUAAAACAUACAGGUUGUGAACUCGAAGAGUAGGGCGGGACACGUGGUAUCCUGUCUGAAUAUGGGGGGACCAUCCUCCAAGGCUAAAUACUCCUGACUGACCGAUAGUGAACCAGUACCGUGAGGGAAAGGCGAAAAGAACCCCGGCGAGGGGAGUGAAAAAGAACCUGAAACCGUGUACGUACAAGCAGUAGGAGCCCACUUGUUGGGUGACUGCGUACCUUUUGUAUAAUGGGUCAGCGACUUAUAUUCUGUAGCAAGGUUAACCGUAUAGGGGAGCCGCAGGGAAACCGAGUCUUAACUGGGCGUUAAGUUGCAGGGUAUAGACCCGAAACCCGGUGAUCUAGCCAUGGGCAGGUUGAAGGUUGGGUAACACUAACUGGAGGACCGAACCGACUAAUGUUGAAAAAUUAGCGGAUGACUUGUGGCUGGGGGUGAAAGGCCAAUCAAACCGGGAGAUAGCUGGUUCUCCCCGAAAGCUAUUUAGGUAGCGCCUCGUGAAUUCAUCUUCGGGGGUAGAGCACUGUUUCGGCUAGGGGGUCAUCCCGACUUACCAACCCGAUGCAAACUACGAAUACCGAAGAAUGUUAUCACGGGAGACACACGGCGGGUGCUAACGUCCGUCGUGAAGAGGGAAACAACCCAGACCGCCAGCUAAGGUCCCAAAGUCAUGGUUAAGUGGGAAACGAUGUGGGAAGGCCCAGACAGCCAGGAUGUUGGCUUAGAAGCAGCCAUCAUUUAAAGAAAGCGUAAUAGCUCACUGGUCGAGUCGGCCUGCGCGGAAGAUGUAACGGGGCUAAACCAUGCACCGAAGCUGCGGCAGCGACACUAUGUGUUGUUGGGUAGGGGAGCGUUCUGUAAGCCGUUGAAGGUGGCCUGUGAGGGUUGCUGGAGGUAUCAGAAGUGCGAAUGCUGACAUAAGUAACGAUAAUGCGGGUGAAAAACCCGCACGCCGGAAGACCAAGGGUUCCUGUCCAACGUUAAUCGGGGCAGGGUGAGUCGACCCCUAAGGCGAGGCCGAAAGGCGUAGUCGAUGGGAAACAGGUUAAUAUUCCUGUACUUGGUGUUACUGCGAAGGGGGGACGGAGAAGGCUAUGUUGGCCGGGCGACGGUUGUCCCGGUUUAAGCAUGUAGGCGGAUGUUCCAGGUAAAUCCGGAACGUUAUUAACGCUGAGGUGUGAUGACGAGGCACUACGGUGCUGAAGUGACAAAUGCCCUGCUUCCAGGAAAAGCCUCUAAGCAUCAGGUAACAUCAAAUCGUACCCCAAACCGACACAGGUGGUCAGGUAGAGAAUACCAAGGCGCUUGAGAGAACUCGGGUGAAGGAACUAGGCAAAAUGGUGCCGUAACUUCGGGAGAAGGCACGCUGAUAUGUAGGUGAAGUGAUUUACUCAUGGAGCUGAAAUCAGUCGAAGAUACCAGCUGGCUGCAACUGUUUAUUAAAAACACAGCACUGUGCAAACACGAAAGUGGACGUAUACGGUGUGACGCCUGCCCGGUGCCGGAAGGUUAAUUGAUGGGGUUAUCCGUAAGGAGAAGCUCUUGAUCGAAGCCCCGGUAAACGGCGGCCGUAACUAUAACGGUCCUAAGGUAGCGAAAUUCCUUGUCGGGUAAGUUCCGACCUGCACGAAUGGCGUAAUGAUGGCCAGGCUGUCUCCACCCGAGACUCAGUGAAAUUGAACUCGCUGUGAAGAUGCAGUGUACCCGCGGCAAGACGGAAAGACCCCGUGAACCUUUACUAUAGCUUGACACUGAACACUGGUCCUUGAUGUGUAGGAUAGGUGGGAGGCUUUGAAGCGUGGACGCCAGUCUGCGUGGAGCCAUCCUUGAAAUACCACCCUUUAAUGGCUGGUGUUCUAACGUGGGCCCCUAAUCGGGGUUGCGGACAGUGUCUGGUGGGUAGUUUGACUGGGGCGGUCUCCUCCUAAAGAGUAACGGAGGAGCACGAAGGUCAGCUAAUCCUGGUCGGACAUCAGGAGGUUAGUGCAAUGGCAUAAGCUGGCUUGACUGCGAGCGUGACGGCGCGAGCAGGUGCGAAAGCAGGUCAUAGUGAUCCGGUGGUUCUGAAUGGAAGGGCCAUCGCUCAACGGAUAAAAGGUACUCCGGGGAUAACAGGCUGAUACCGCCCAAGAGUUCAUAUCGACGGCGGUGUUUGGCACCUCGAUGUCGGCUCAUCACAUCCUGGGGCUGAAGUAGGUCCCAAGGGUAUGGCUGUUCGCCAUUUAAAGUGGUACGCGAGCUGGGUUUAGAACGUCGUGAGACAGUUCGGUCCCUAUCUGCCGUGGGCGCUGGAGAAUUGAGGGGGGCUGCUCCUAGUACGAGAGGACCGGAGUGGACGCAUCACUGGUGUUCGGGUUGUCAUGCCAAUGGCAUUGCCCGGUAGCUAAAUGCGGAAGAGAUAAGUGCUGAAAGCAUCUAAGUACGAAACUUGCCCCGAGAUGAGUUCUCCCUGACUCCUUGAGAGUCCUGAAGGAACGUUGAAGACGACGACGUUGAUAGGCCGGGUGUGUAAGCGCAGCGAUGCGUUGAGCUAACCGGUACUAAUGAACCGUGAGGCUUAACCUU
Molecule: ribosomal RNA, 2907 nt
Filed under: Klebsiella pasteurii
Lineage: Bacteria; Pseudomonadati; Pseudomonadota; Gammaproteobacteria; Enterobacterales; Enterobacteriaceae
Description: 23S ribosomal RNA
Rfam family: Bacterial large subunit ribosomal RNA
Source: RNAcentral